This 463-nucleotide ribosomal RNA is filed under the name uncultured bacterium. RNAcentral describes it as "bacterial SSU rRNA". It matches the Rfam family "Bacterial small subunit ribosomal RNA", at positions 48 to 525 of the family's 1533-position model. The record is from RNAcentral.
GCUAUACAUGCAGUCGAGCGAGAAACGGGUAGCAAUACCCGGAGUACAGCGGCGAAAGGGUGCGUAUGACAUGAAGAACGUACCCCUCCGUUCGGAAUAACCCAGCGAAAGCUGGGCUAAUACCGGAUACGGCCGCGGCGACGCCUGUCGCUGCGGUGAAAGUCGUAAGAUGCGGAUGGAGCGCUUCAUGGCCUAUCAGCUAGUUGGCGGGGUAACGGCCCACCAAGGCGAUGACGGGUAGCCGGACUGAGAGGUCGACCGGCCACACGGGGACUGAGACACGGCCCCGACAUCUACGGAUGGCAGCAGUAGGGAAUAUUGCGCAAUGGGCGAAAGCCUGACGCAGCGACGCCGCGUGGGGGAUGAAGGCCUUCGGGUUGUAAACCCCUUUCAUGUGGGAAGAACACUGACUUAACCACAGGAAGAAGCACCGGCUAACUCCGUGCCAGCAGCUGCGGUAAUA